CAGGCCUAACACAUGCAAGUCGAACGGUAGCACAGAGAGCUUGCUCUCGGGUGACGAGUGGCGGACGGGUGAGUAAUGUCUGGGAAACUGCCCGAUGGAGGGGGAUAACUACUGGAAACGGUAGCUAAUACCGCAUAAUGUCGCAAGACCAAAGAGGGGGACCUUCGGGCCUCUUGCCAUCAGAUGUGCCCAGAUGGGAUUAGCUAGUAGGUGGGGUAAUGGCUCACCUAGGCGACGAUCCCUAGCUGGUCUGAGAGGAUGACCAGCCACACUGGAACUGAGACACGGUCCAGACUCCUACGGGAGGCAGCAGUGGGGAAUAUUGCACAAUGGGCGCAAGCCUGAUGCAGCCAUGCCGCGUGUGUGAAGAAGGCCUUCGGGUUGUAAAGCACUUUCAGCGAGGAGGAAGGCAUUAAGGUUAAUAACCUUAGUGAUUGACGUUACUCGCAGAAGAAGCACCGGCUAACUCCGUGCCAGCAGCCGCGGUAAU
Molecule: ribosomal RNA, 490 nt
Filed under: uncultured bacterium
Lineage: Bacteria
Description: bacterial SSU rRNA
Rfam family: Bacterial small subunit ribosomal RNA
Source: RNAcentral